CAAUAGCGUAUAUUAAAGUUGUUGCAGUUAAAAAGCUCGUAGUUGGAUUUGUGGCUGUCACGGGCGGCCUAUCACUUAGUGUUAGUGCUUGCCUGUGUCGCCAUCCUUGGGUGGAGCCCGUGUGGCAUUAGGUUGUCGUGCGGGGGAUGCCCAUCGUUUACUGUGAGAAAAUUAGAGUGUUCAAAGCAGGCUUAUGCCGUUGAAUAUGUUAGCAUGGAAUAAUAAGAUAGGACCUCGGUACUAUUUUGUUGGUUUGCGCACCGAGGUAAUGAUUAAUAGGGACAGUUGGGGGUAUUUGUAUUUCAUUGUCAGAGGUGAAAUUCUUGGAUUUCUGAAAGACGAACUACUGCGAAAGCAUUUACCAAGGAUGUUUUCAUUAA
RNAcentral lists this ribosomal RNA (380 nucleotides) under uncultured eukaryote. RNAcentral's name for it is "partial 18S ribosomal RNA". It matches the Rfam family "Eukaryotic small subunit ribosomal RNA", at positions 592 to 976 of the family's 1831-position model. The record is from RNAcentral.